UCAAGUGAAUAAGCGUGCACGGUGGAUGCCUAGGCAGUCAGAGGCGAUGAAGGACGUGGUAACCUGCGAAAAGUUUUGGGGAGGUGGUAAACAACCUAUGAUCCAGAGAUAUCCGAAUGGGGAAACCCACCCAGUGUAAGCUGGGUACCAUAUACUGAAUACAUAGGUAUAUGGGGCGAACCGGGAGAACUGAAACAUCUAAGUACCCCGAGGAAAAGAAAUCAAUUGAGAUUCCCCUAGUAGCGGCGAGCGAACGGGGAUUAGCCCUUAAGUUUAUUAUGUUUUAGCGGAAGUAGCUGGAAAGUUACGCCAUAGUGGGUGAUAGCCCCGUACGCGAAAAGGCAUUUUAGAUGAAAACGAGUAGGUCGGGACACGAGAAAUCUUGACUGAACAUGGGGGGACCAUCCUCCAAGGCUAAAUACUCCUGACUGACCGAUAGUGAACCAGUACCGUGAGGGAAAGGCGAAAAGAACCCCUGUGAGGGGAGUGAAAUAGAUCCUGAAACCGUGUACGUACAAGCAGUGGGAGCCGAUUUAUUCGGUGACUGCGUACCUUUUGUAUAAUGGGUCAGCGACUUAAUUUUAGUAGCAAGCUUAACCGAAUAGGGGAGGCGUAGGGAAACCGAGUCUUAAUAGGGCGUAUAGUUGCUAGGAUUAGACCCGAAACCGGGCGAUCUACCCAUGGCCAGGUUGAAGGUUGAGUAACAUCAACUGGAGGACCGAACCCACGUAUGUUGAAAAAUGCGGGGAUGAGCUGUGGGUCGGAGUGAAAGGCUAAUCAAGCCCGGAGAUAGCUGGUUCUCCUCGAAAGCUAUUUAGGUAGCGCCUCGUGUCUCACCAUUGGGGGUAGAGCACUGUUUCGGCUAGGGGGUCAUCCCGACUUACCAACCCGAUGCAAACUCCGAAUACCAAUGAGUGCAAUCACGGGAGACACACGGCGGGUGCUAACGUCCGUCGUGGAAAGGGAAACAACCCAGACCGUCAGCUAAGGUCCCAAAGUUAUAGUUAAGUGGGAAACGAUGUGGGAAGGUUUAGACAGCUAGGAGGUUGGCUUAGAAGCAGCCAUCCUUUAAAGAAAGCGUAAUAGCUCACUAGUCGAAUCGGCCUGCGCGGAAGAUAUAACGGGGCUCAAACUAUACACCGAAGCUACGGACGCAUGCUUGCAUGCGUGGUAGAGGAGCGUUCUGUAGGCCGUUGAAGGGAAAGCUGAGAGGCAUCCUGGAGGUAUCAGAAGUGCGAAUGCUGACAUGAGUAACGAUAAGGGGAGUGAAAAGCUCCCCCGCCGGAAGACCAAGGUUUCCUAUCCAAUGCUAAUCAGGGUAGGGUGAGUCGGCCCCUAAGGCGAGGCUGAAGAGCGUAGUCGAUGGGAAGCAGGUUAAUAUUCCUGCACCACUCAAUAUUGCGAAGGAGGGACGGAGAAGGCUAGUCCAGCGCGGCGUUGGUUGUCCGCGUUUAAGCGUGUAGGCUUAAAUCUUAGGUAAAUCCGGGAUUUUUUAAGGCUGAGGCGUGAUGACGAGGUCCAUUAGGACUGAAGUGGUUGAUGCCAUGCUUCCAGGAAAAGCUUCUAAGCAUCAGAUAUUGAGUGACCGUACCCCAAACCGACACAGGUGGUCAGGUAGAGAAUACCAAGGCGCUUGAGAGAACUCGGGUGAAGGAACUAGGCAAAAUGGUACCGUAACUUCGGGAGAAGGUACGCCGCUGAUGGUGAUGGGACUUGCUCCCUAAGCUGUUGGCGGCCGAAGAUACCAGGUGGCUGCGACUGUUUAUUAAAAACACAGCACUGUGCAAACACGAAAGUGGACGUAUACGGUGUGACGCCUGCCCGGUGCCGGAAGGUUAAUUGAUGGGGUUAGCUUCGGCGAAGCUCUUGAUCGAAGCCCCGGUAAACGGCGGCCGUAACUAUAACGGUCCUAAGGUAGCGAAAUUCCUUGUCGGGU
RNAcentral lists this ribosomal RNA (1936 nucleotides) under seawater metagenome. RNAcentral's name for it is "bacterial LSU rRNA". It matches the Rfam family "Bacterial large subunit ribosomal RNA", at positions 3 to 1977 of the family's 2925-position model. The record is from RNAcentral.